AGUUGGAGAGAUGAAAUAAAGAAGAAUUUUUUUUGAUUGAUUGGGUUUAAUCUUAAGAAUAAGACCCAAACAAAUAAUUAUGAUUUCACAGUAGUUAAUGAAAAACAAAUACUGGUGCUUCAAAAGUUCUUACAAGGUUAGAUUUCAUUUUCAGUAUAUAUGUAGCAGUAUGUGACAGAAAGGGCAAAAAUGCAAAGGAACUGACGGUAGAAAGAGGCGAGAAAUUACAAGUAUUAGACAAGUCUAGAAACUGGUGGAAGUUGAAGAAUUAUCAGGGGGAGACUGGCUACGCACCUUACACAAUAUUAAAGGAAUAUCAACCUAAGGAUGACUUUUUAUAUGGUGAUGGUGGACAACGUCUGGGAAAAGAUUUCAAUGACAUUCCACCUGUACCUCCCCUACGAGCAGCAAAUCAACCAGCAAGUCGCGGAGGUCACAAAUCAUUUCGAUACUUUUGAUGAUGAUAUGUCUUACUUUUAAUUUUCAGUUUUACUUGUGGCAUUUUGUUUAUAUAGUGACAAGUCUUACGAAAAAACAAAUCAAAUCAAACCUGCUGAAAUUGAAGCUAUAUGUUACGAGGCAGUUUAUUUAUUAUAGCUACUGGUAAUAAAUCAGGGAUAAUCAGACUGCAUAUGAGAAAAAUAGAAUGAAAAUUUUAAAUGUUCCCCCUAUUUUAAUUUGUUUUGUUAUGGAAGUAAGAGGGCCAUCAGUAUGUUUAUGAUUUAUCAGUAGUAUUUGUAUGUUUCUGUUGGUACUUUAAAAUUUUAGAUCUGUAUUAUACCUUCAAGUAAAGAAUCGUUGUGUUUAAAAAAAACUUGAUUUUGAAUUUAGUCGUAUUGGUGCGCAUUAAUAAUUACAAAAAGUAUUGAAUGGAAAAGCUUCUCUUUGAGAGCUGUAAUAUAAAACAGAUAUAACGUUUUCAUGAAUCUGUUACGAAGUGAGAUUUUGUUAGGUGAUGAAGAUACUUGCAUCUCACUUUACUGAGUUUCUAGAUGAUGAAUUAAUCAGUGUGAUAUUUUCUUUCAUCAGCCGGGAACCAUUCUUUAGAAAAAAUAUUAGGGUUGUUUAUCGUUACAACGUCUUACACAGAUGUCUACAUUUUUUAAUUAUUAUUGAUGGUUGCCAUGGAAGUAUAUUUUAUUGUACAUAGUAGAGUGUUAAUGAUUAUCACGUUAAAAUCUUACAUAUCAUUGUAAUGUUAUUAUGCAAAGAAUAUAUAAUGUGUGAAUUGUCUGCAUAUAUAUUAUGUAUAUAUUUUGUACAGGUCAUAUUGUAGAGACUUACCCUAAGCCUUCUUUACACAAGGGAAACAAUCUGUUUAUAUAGUUAAAUUGUUUAGUGAACACCGUCUGUUAAUCCUAAUUCUGUCCAUGUUAUAUCAGUGCAAAGGAGAAGUAACCUAUUUAUGUUAAAUGCUAUGCAUGAUAACACAGUCAUACAUCUGAUAGUCCUGAAAAUGAUUUCUUUGAUUUUCUCAUAUUUCUAGAUAUUUUGCGAAUAUUUGGACGCAUAUAUAUGGGUAGAAGAGAUUGUUCUCUUUCCAGCAGUAGCCUUUUCAACAUAUUGUUAGGACGGUCAAUAAUGAAAUUAAAUUCUUCAGAUACUAUAAUAUCUAUUAAUACCUGCAUCUCUUUCUGUCUUAAAGUGCUUAAAGUUGAACUAUUUUCUAACUCUUUCUCGAAUUUCUAUAUAACUCUUUCGUUUGAGCUUUUUCGGUCGAAUGCUUCUAAUAAGCAAAAGGUUUUUAGUUUAUAUACAUGUUUACAUUCUAUACAUGACGUCAAAAAUGAAAGUAGGUUUUUCCCGGAAUAAAUAUCCGCCAAUCAGAUUUAACCAAUAUGGCGGUCAUUACAAGUUGACAGUAUAUGGUGUAAGUCACUUUCUUUUGGACUAAAUACAAGUUAUACUUAUAGUGAUUAAUUAUGAAAACCUUAACAAAAGAGACAUCAUAUAUUUAUAAUUUAAUUGUUACUAAUAUUUAAAGUGAAACAUUAAUACGUUUUGAAAAUUUUAUGAGAAAAGUUUGGUUGUCUAGCGUUUAUGAUUGGGUGGAGUAUUGUAACCAGCAUAGCAAUAUUGUACCUUGUCAAAGUAUUUGGGCUUUGACUUUUUCCAAAAAAAAGUCUGUUGUUGACAAAUUUCCACACAGAAAAUGUUACACUUUCCCCUGGGCAUUAACUUAUUUGAUCUUUACAUAGUUUUCUAUUCUGAUUGCUAAUCCACGUGGCAAUUAUGCAUGCUUUUCUACUGUCUAACUUCUUUCUUUUUCUCAUGAUUGAAACAGGCUAUUUUCAAAGAAAAAAAUCACAGCAGUUUUGGAUCAGAUAUUUUCUUAAAUACAUGUAGCUUUAAAUUUAUUGUUAAAAAUUUGUUAUUAACUUGUUUAGUUUACUUGUGGAUAUGUAAGAGUUUGGGAAAGGAUGUUUUAUUAAUAAUCACUGGAAAGUUUAUUGCUUGAAGAUUAAUUAUAUAUAUAUAUAUAUAUAUAUAUAUAUAUAUAUUAAAAAAUAUUAUAACUAGGUGUCAUUUAAUAAGUUAAAUCUUGCCAUUUGAAAACCAGUAUCAUGUCUUUUUGGUGUCUAUGAUAAAUAUACAAGUCGUCUAAAAUGUUACCAAUGAGAGCGUGAAAGAAUGCUUUCAAAUAUUUCUCAUCAAAAAGCCUUAAUUCAACUUCCUUUAUUUCUUUUCCACUUAACUUAUAGAUUUAUAGAAACUAUUUAGCAAUAUAUCCUUAAAUUAGUUGUGCAGUAUUAAUAGUUCAUAUUGAUGUUUUUGAUGUCCUUUUACAGAUAUAAAAUGUGUUAGGGUAUAUGAAAACUAACUUUGUGUGGCAAAAUUUGACAGUAGUAUUAUAGUAGUAGCAUAGUAGAUUAAAUGCAAUAUUGAUUUGAAUUUGUUUAGGAUUUAGUUUAACAACAGAAACUUUAUAUGACAUCAGCUAAUAUCCUAGCAUUUGAAACAGCAUUUUGUAAUUGAAAAUUUGUGUUGUGACUUCCCUUUUGUUUUCAUUUCUUUUUCUGUCUAAAACUUUUUUUCGGUAAACUUUCAAGGUUACCUGGUCAGAUUUAAGAACAAAAUAUUUUGUUUUUUGAUUUUUUUUGACUCUGUUUUGAUAAUAAAUCUGAUUUAGUUAUGUGAUGAUAUAGCAGUCUAAUGUAAAGGCAGACUAAUGGAAAGGCAGGCUUCAGGAAUUUUAGUCAGUCAUGUAAAAAUGCAGCUUAUGCCCACACUACUACGUGUAAGGACUAUAUGCAAGAGUAUAAGUAAAUAUGCAUUACUCAAGAAAGUGUUCAGCUAAAGAAGAAACAUUUAAAAGAAUGAAUUAAGGUAAAAAAUCCAAGCCGCACCGUUUAUUGCCUUUGCUUUCUUGCCUUGUAUAUGCUAGGUAUUCAUCUGUUUAUUCUAUAGAAGCCAGUUUCAUGUUUUCCCAUCUUUUGUCAUUAAAAGCACUCACAGUUUAUUUUGUGUUAACGCAGUUUGAAUAUUUACAUAUGUGCUGACACUCUAGAAGUUUGUAUGUUAGGUGUUUAGGCUGUCAGUUUUUUUACAACAUACACAUCUAUAACAAUUCUCUUUUGUUUUUAAAGCGGAUAAAAGUAUGCUUUUAACUAUCAUAUAUAAUAAAAUAUUGUUCCGUUUGCAGAUUUCCAUUUCUAAGUGUUUUACCUUGCUACAAAUACUUUUCCUCCCUUCAUUCCUUAAUGUCUGCUGUGACUUGCUACUGUCAGUUUCAUUGAAAUAUACCUUUAGGAUACAUCUGCAAGCUUAAACUAAGAUUACAUACAUACAUAAUGAGCCUGAAAUGUUCUUUGCUGAUUCAUUGUUACGUUGUUAGGUAAAUUCAAGAAAAAUGUUCGAAUGAAUUUUACCUUUCGUGCUAGCCUAGAAACUGUGUGUCCGUGUUCUCUUCCCAUUUUUCCUUUCACCUGCCUUCUCAUAAUUCUCUGCUGUAAAUGGCUGUUAUGUUUAGUAGUCUGUUAAUAUCAUAUUUAUUUACAAAAAAAAGCAUUUAAUAUGAAUAAAUUAAA
Molecule: long non-coding RNA, 4028 nt
Organism: Mercenaria mercenaria
Lineage: Eukaryota; Metazoa; Mollusca; Bivalvia; Venerida; Veneridae
Exons: 3
Source: RefSeq, a predicted model, not a curated record